RNAcentral lists this non-coding RNA (177 nucleotides) under Anaerovibrio sp. RNAcentral describes it as "6S RNA". It matches the Rfam family "6S / SsrS RNA". From Rfam's summary of the family: E. coli 6S RNA was the first non coding RNA to be sequenced, but its function was unknown until recently. The record is from RNAcentral. RNAcentral also lists the same sequence under 2 other names. Lineage: Bacteria; Bacillati; Bacillota; Negativicutes; Selenomonadales; Selenomonadaceae.
GAUACUCUAGAAUGUCCGUUAUUCCUUUCAUCGUCUGGCCUACUCCUUUUAUACGGGAGCCUGACAUCGCGCCGUGGCUGCUGGAUCGUCUCCGAGCGAAUAGCAAAAGCGGCUGCUGAGGGCACCCACCUGCAAUCGCAGGUUAGACCUGUUGGUCGACGGCAUUUCGGAACCCGC